GGAAUAUUGGACAAUGGGCGCAAGCCUGAUCCAGCAAUGCCGCGUGUGUGAAGAAGGCCUGCUGGCUGUAAAGCACUUUCGGUGGGGAGGAAGCUAUUGUUAGGAAUCUUAAUGCUAGUUGACGUUACCUACAGAAGAAGCACCGGCUAACUCUGUGCCAGCAGCCGCGGUAAUACAGAGGGUGCCAGCGUUAAUCGGAAUUACUGGGCGUAAAGGGUGCGUAGGUGGUUAUUUAAGUCAGAUGUGAAAUCCCUGGGCUUAACCUAGGAAUGGCAUAUGAAACUGGAUAACUAGAGUUCGAUAGAGGGAAGUGGAAUUUCCGGUGUAGCGGUGAAAUGCGUAGAUAUCGGAAGGAACAUCAGUGGCGAAGGCGACUUCCUGGCUCGAUACUGACACUGAGGCACGAAAGCGUGGGGAGCAAAC
Molecule: ribosomal RNA, 423 nt
Filed under: uncultured bacterium
Lineage: Bacteria
Description: bacterial SSU rRNA
Rfam family: Bacterial small subunit ribosomal RNA
Source: RNAcentral